GGUCUGUGAUGUGGGCAUUUUCACAUUAUCUCCUUGAAUCACUUUCAUGCUUCGAAAAGCGAUUCUCCACCCAUCUGUCUAAAUUAGGCAAUUUGGUUCCUAAGAUG
Lathyrus oleraceus (garden pea) is the source of this 107-nucleotide small nucleolar RNA. NCBI's taxonomy places the organism in Eukaryota, Viridiplantae, Streptophyta, Magnoliopsida, Fabales, Fabaceae. The record is from RefSeq and is a predicted model, not a curated record.